Molecule: non-coding RNA, 1983 nt
Organism: Danio rerio (zebrafish)
Lineage: Eukaryota; Metazoa; Chordata; Actinopteri; Cypriniformes; Danionidae
Source: Ensembl
UGAGAGGUGACGACUACCGCGUGACACGGUUGGAUCCUUUAGAAAAACAGACAUCACAGCGACCUCUAGCGAUUUAAUUACUGUUUACGCGUACUGACUAGCAAAUAAAUAAUAUACUUGCAGUCAAUCAAGGUCGGAGCACUGCCUGGUUGUAUUCUCUGGCUGUACAAACCCACAAACAUUCAAAGAGUUUUCACAGGUCCAAUUGCUGAAAGAAAGGAAAGGUCUUCCCUCUAGUGGUGUACACGUGGAAAUACACACCGAAAAGGCCUACAUUUUGCAAGGUCUGAAUGCAGUGGUCUUAGCCUCCUGGAUUGUUGGGCAUGUGUCACUGAGCUCACUGGAUUCUGUCUCUGUCUUUCCUGCACUGGGGAAGCCUGUCAUAUGCAUAAGAUCACACAACAGGAUGAUGAAGCUGUCCGGUGGAUUGGAGAUCUGCUAAUCCGCUGCUGAAUUAGCUCAGGAGGAUGUCUCAAGGCUCUGGCGAUGUGGUGCCACUUAUGUAGGAUUGAUGGCAAAAGAUCCCUGUGCAUCAUCGUUUGGGAGCGAUCUAAAAUGUCAAAGGUGUCCUUUUGAUGUCGGGUAUGGGCCUCAUGCAAGGCAGCACCUGUGUGGGACGCCGUAUGCAUUUGUGUGUGUGUGUGUGUGUGUGUGUGUGUGUGUGUGUGUGUGUGUGUCAUAUUCACAUUCAAACUGUCAGGCUGUUCCUUUGGGAGCAAGGGAUACUGAGGAGAGACGAAUGUAAACUGAGGUUGUGCUCUCACAUGCUUCCUCUCUCUCUCUCUUUGUCUCAUUUAUUAAGUGGAGUGAUUGUAAUGGUUUGAGUAUUGAAUGUUUGCAAUGUUGAUCUCUUUGAUCCUGAUACGGUACAAUCUGGCUUACACUGAAGCCCAUCCCACUGUGUGCUGCAAUGCCUGUUUUACUAUCCGUCCAACCAUCACUGUCCUCUCCGCUAUAGAUGAAUGAAUGGAUGCUUGUUUAUGUGAACCUGUGUUUGUGGGCUGAAUGUGUGUGUUUCAGCAGCUGUAACGUGUGUUGCAGAUUCGAAUCUGAACUCAUAUUCACUCCAUCUGCUGGUCAAUUAGAUGAACACACAGAAAAUGCUUGAGCCUUUUCAGACUUUUUGAACAAAGCUAGCUUGUUUGUAUAAAGCUCUAGUACAAACAAGCAAAAUGCAAAUUUUAAAUACAAAAUAAAACACAGAAAUACAAAUGAGCUUUUAAUCAUACCAUUGGUUUUACUUUCUUAGAAGCCAGUCCAACAAACAAGUGGAAAAAUACCUGAAGGAAUUGUAUUAAUGUACUUAAUGAAAACAACCAAGCCGCAAAAAACAAAACAAAAAACACAUUACUAAUUCUCUUGCUCUUCGUUGUGUUAUAUAUCAGUGUGUUUUAUAUUCCUCCACAAGUACACAGUGUCUGGAGAGUUCUCUUAUGAAAACCGAGUGUGCUUUGUGUAUGUGUGUUGGAGGAAUACGAAGAAGAGAGCAGAGUUUUUCAAUGUGUUCUUAAGCGUUCUUGCAUUCUCAAACAACAUCAUCAUAAACUUCCAAAGUUUAAGAAGAACGUUUAAGAAAAAGGCUGCAUUUGUUCCUGAUAUUGCUAAUGCAUCAGAUGCAGACUUUAGAACAGCAGUCGCUCGAAAUCUCAGAAGUCAUUGCAGCUCAAUAAAGGAAUAGGGAAGUGCAGCAUCUUAUAUUCACUAUUAUUUACUGUUUAGAGAUAUUUCCCUAUAUGAAACAGUGAAAUUAAAAUUGGUUUUAUUUGUAUUGGCCAAAGUAUCUUUGUAAGAGUUUUGUACGUUACAUACAGUAUUUAUUAAAAAGGGGAAAAACAUACAGUUACUCGGUGUAUGAAUGUUGUAAUGUUUGUUUUCUGUAAAAUGCAUGUGUCAUGAAGUCUCAUUUCUCACAUUAUAUGUUUUACUGGUCUUCAAGUUUGUUUUUCCGCAGUAAUUUGAAAAGACCGGUCUUUGUGCAAAUGC